UGUAAAGAUUAAAGAAUGGAA
RNAcentral lists this non-coding RNA (21 nucleotides) under Caenorhabditis elegans. The record is from RNAcentral. Lineage: Eukaryota; Metazoa; Nematoda; Chromadorea; Rhabditida; Rhabditidae.